Molecule: long non-coding RNA, 401 nt
Organism: Sapajus apella (tufted capuchin)
Lineage: Eukaryota; Metazoa; Chordata; Mammalia; Primates; Cebidae
Exons: 2
Source: RefSeq, a predicted model, not a curated record
CAAACUCCUGGACUCAAGUGAUCCUUCUGCAUCAGGCUACCAAGUAGCUGGGACUAUAGGCAUGCACCACCACGCUUGAACCUAGUAUGCUUUCUGGUCUGAACACUCAAGGAAGCAAAGAAGGAUGGCUCCUGUAAGUGCAAGUGACCUUUGCAUAUAGUGCCUGAAAUCAGAGGAAGCUUGUCAGUGUGGGCAGACACUACCAGUAGACCAGUCUGACAUUCCUCUUCUCUUUUAACCUCUUGAAAAUUAUUCGAUGAAGAUCCUAACAUUAAUUGCUCCUGAUUAAGGUUUAAAACUUUAGCUUACUGUGGGUUAAAUUUAGGUUUUUGAUGGUCAUCCAAAAUCUUUGUGUCCUUUCAGUUUCAUUGCAGAAUAAAAAACAAAUUGACUACAAUGGA